Molecule: ribosomal RNA, 200 nt
Filed under: uncultured bacterium
Lineage: Bacteria
Description: partial 16S ribosomal RNA
Rfam family: Bacterial small subunit ribosomal RNA
Source: RNAcentral
AGCGAACGCUGGCGGCAGGCUUAACACAUGCAAGUCGAGCGCCGUAGCAAUACGGAGCGGCAGGACGGGUGAGUAACGCGUGGGAACGUGCCUUCUGGGUUCGGAAUAACUCAGGGAAACUUGAGCUAAUACCGAAUAAGCCCGUUCGGGGGAAAGAUUUAUCGCCGGAGGAUCCGGCCCGCGUAAGAUUAGCUUGUUGG